RNAcentral lists this ribosomal RNA (497 nucleotides) under uncultured bacterium. Its description in RNAcentral is "bacterial SSU rRNA". It matches the Rfam family "Bacterial small subunit ribosomal RNA", at positions 9 to 507 of the family's 1533-position model. The record is from RNAcentral.
CGAGUUUGAUCCUGGCUCAGGAUGAACGCUAGCGGCAGGCUUAACACAUGCAAGUCGAGGGGUUAUUGGUUUCGGACCAAGAGACCGGCGCACGGGUGCGUAACGCGUAUGCAAUCUACCUUUGCAGAGGGAUAGCCCAGAGAAAUUUGGAUUAAUACCUCAUAGUAUAGUACUUUGGCAUCAAGGAACUAUUAAAGUCACAACGGCAAAAGAUGAGCAUGCGUCCCAUUAGCUAGUUGGUAAGGUAACGGCUUACCAAGGCUACGAUGGGUAGGGGUUCUGAGAGGGAGAUCCCCCACACUGGUACUGAGACACGGACCAGACUCCUACGGGAGGCAGCAGUGAGGAAUAUUGGACAAUGGGCGCAAGCCUGAUCCAGCCAUGCCGCGUGCAGGAUGACGGUCCUAUGGAUUGUAAACUGCUUUUAUACAGGAAGAAACACUCCGACGUGUCGGAGCUUGACGGUACUGUAAGAAUAAGGAUCGGCUAACUCCGUG